RNAcentral lists this ribosomal RNA (517 nucleotides) under uncultured bacterium. Its description in RNAcentral is "bacterial SSU rRNA". It matches the Rfam family "Bacterial small subunit ribosomal RNA", at positions 993 to 1509 of the family's 1533-position model. The record is from RNAcentral.
GAACUUUCCAGAGAUGGAUUGGUGCCUUCGGGAACUUAGAUACAGGUGCUGCAUGGCUGUCGUCAGCUCGUGUCGUGAGAUGUUGGGUUAAGUCCCGCAACGAGCGCAACCCUUUUCCUUAUUUGCCAGCGGGUAAUGCCGGGAACUUUAAGGAUACUGCCAGUGACAAACUGGAGGAAGGCGGGGACGACGUCAAGUCAUCAUGGCCCUUACGGCCAGGGCUACACACGUGCUACAAUGGUCGGUACAAAGGGUUGCUACCUCGCGAGAGGAUGCUAAUCUCAAAAAGCCGAUCGUAGUCCGGAUCGCAGUCUGCAACUCGACUGCGUGAAGUCGGAAUCGCUAGUAAUCGCGGAUCAGAAUGCCGCGGUGAAUACGUUCCCGGGCCUUGUACACACCGCCCGUCACACCAUGGGAGUUUGUUGCACCAGAAGUAGGUAGUCUAACCGCAAGGAGGACGCUUACCACGGUGUGGCCGAUGACUGGGGUGAAGUCGUAACAAGGUAAGCGUAGAUGA